GACGAACGCUGGCGGCGUGCCUAACACAUGCAAGUCGAGCGCUGAAGGUCGGUACUUGUACCAACUGGAUGAGCAGCGAACGGGAGAGUAACGCGCGGGGACUCUGCCUUGGAGCGAGGGACAACAUUCGGUAACGAAUGCUAAUACCGCAUAAAAACUUUAGACACAAGCCUUAAGUUUGAAAGAUGCAAUUGCAUCACUCAACGAUGUUCCCGCGUUGUAUUAGGUAGGUGGGUGGGUAAAGGCUCACCAAGGCGAUGUGACAUAGCCGACCUGGGAAGGAGGUCGGCCACAUUGGGGCUGGGGAACGGCCCAAACUCCUUCGGGGAGCAGCAGUAGGGAAACUUCGGCAAAGGGGGGAAAUCUGACCGAACAACGCCGCGGGAGUGAAGGAGGGUUUCGGAUCGUAAAACUCUGUUGGUAGGGAAGAACGUUGGUGAGAGUGGAAAGGGCAGCAAGUGACGGUAACGACACAGAAAGGGACGGCUAACUACGUG
Molecule: ribosomal RNA, 497 nt
Filed under: uncultured bacterium
Lineage: Bacteria
Description: partial 16S ribosomal RNA
Rfam family: Bacterial small subunit ribosomal RNA
Source: RNAcentral